RNAcentral lists this ribosomal RNA (492 nucleotides) under uncultured bacterium. Its description in RNAcentral is "partial 16S ribosomal RNA". It matches the Rfam family "Bacterial small subunit ribosomal RNA", at positions 29 to 507 of the family's 1533-position model. The record is from RNAcentral.
AGUGAACGCUGGCGGUAGGCCUAACACAUGCAAGUCGAACGGCAGCACAGUAAGAGCUUGCUCUUACGGGUGGCGAGUGGCGGACGGGUGAGGAAUACAUAGGAAUCUACUUUUUCGUGGGGGAUAACAUAGGGAAACUUACGCUAAUACCGCAUACGACCUACGGGUGAAAGCAGGGGAUCUUCGGACCUUGCGCGAUUGAAUGAGCCGAUGUCGGAUUAGCUAGUUGGCGGGGUAAAGGCCCACCAAGGCGACGAUCCGUAGCUGGUCUGAGAGGAUGAUCAGCCACACUGGAACUGAGACACGGUCCAGACUCCUACGGGAGGCAGCAGUGGGGAAUAUUGGACAAUGGGCGCAAGCCUGAUCCAGCCAUACCGCGUGGGUGAAGAAGGCCUUCGGGUUGUAAAGCCCUUUUGUUGGGAAAGAAAAGCAGCAGGUUAAUACCCCGCUGUUCUGACGGUACCCAAAGAAUAAGCACCGGCUAACUUCGUG